RNAcentral lists this ribosomal RNA (200 nucleotides) under uncultured bacterium. RNAcentral describes it as "partial 16S ribosomal RNA". It matches the Rfam family "Bacterial small subunit ribosomal RNA", at positions 29 to 257 of the family's 1533-position model. The record is from RNAcentral.
AGCGAACGCUGGCGGCAGGCUUAACACAUGCAAGUCGAGCGCCUGUAGCAAUGCAGGAGCGGCAGACGGGAGAGUAACACGUGGGAACGUACCUUUCAGUUCGGAACAACCAGGGGAACUUGAGCUAAUACCGAAUGUGCCCUUCGGGGAAGAUUUAUCGCCAUUGGAGCGGCCCGCGUAGGAUUAGCUAGUUGGUGGGG